AACCAGUUUCAUUUCAAGAAAAAUGUCGCGCAGAUGUGAUGCAUUAAAUGGGGAUAUUUUCUCAUUUGUCAACAGCGGUUUCCGAGUAUUUUCCUAGUAGAUACUCAACGUAUUUCCGCAGUGCGAGUUCUCUUGUCUUCCAUCUACAAAAUUAAAUACAAUUUUUGAUUCUUGGGGGAGAGGGAUACUAUAUUCCUCAGUCCAAAUCUAGUAAUCUUUAGGAAAUUUUGUUCCUUCUAUCUCAGCGGGACUUCGCGGCUGUCAUGCCAUGGGAAAUAUCAUCACUCUUAUUGCUUCCAUCACUAUUUAUUCUGUGUCAGCGGAAUUGGAUGGAAAGGCGCCAGCGAAUGCGGGGCAAGAAGGCGAACAUUUCGUUCCCUUACAACGACGUAUUUACGGUACGAUACAUACGCAAUGUUGCUCCGUAUUAUACCAUACAGUACACAGUAC
This 450-nucleotide small RNA is filed under the name Histoplasma capsulatum var. duboisii H88. RNAcentral describes it as "Histoplasma capsulatum H88 hypothetical RNA". The record is from RNAcentral. Lineage: Eukaryota; Fungi; Ascomycota; Eurotiomycetes; Onygenales; Ajellomycetaceae.